GGAUAUCAUUAAAGACACCCCAAAGAGCUCCGUGGAUUUCAGACAUCAACGCCUUGACACCCACUGGAUAGCAGCAACUCAAGUGUUCCUUGAUAAUGAAGUCCAGGCACCCUGCUGGUGUGGUAACUCCCUUCUCUGCAUUGAUGGAGUAGUUUGAGAAACCUCAAAUGGCCAGGUGUCAGCUUCCCAUUCAGUGACACCACUGUGUAGCCCGCGUUGAGGCACUCCUUCCUUGGUAUACUGAUGUAUUUUUCACUUUGUUGGGGAGUUCUGAAGAGCUCUGUACAGUCCACCGAAAUGUCAUCAAGAUCUAAAUGAAAGUAUCAUGGUCACUUGAUGAGAGCUCAUUGGGGAUCUGGAUCAGGAGUAAAUGAGCCAUACGUACUCUGCUUCUGGAAAGCUCAACAGCCCUUUCCCAAGCAGUUAUGCAGACGAACAGAGGAGGGGACCUGGGAAGAAAAGAUGGUAAAAGACCACAGGACAAGCACAGGCAUCUUGGAGGAUGGUUGCAGGUAUGAACAAUAAGAGGUUGAAAUGUUUCCCACCACUCAGAAGUUCAGCUUCUAGCAGGGUUCCUGUUCUUCUGAAAAAGUCUUGGCCAUGAUCAGUGAUGCAAGAGCCGAAAGCCACUUUGUGACCACAAUGGAUGGAAAGAUCCCCCAUGUUUGUCAAACACCUGCAGCAGGAAAGACAAGCUUAGAAGCUGAGACCUUAACAGAUCCCCCUGGCAUAAUACUGGGCAACAAUGAAGAAAUCUUGGUGCUGGAGCCAAGAGGGCUUUGUGUGGACCAAG
Molecule: long non-coding RNA, 793 nt
Organism: Prionailurus viverrinus (fishing cat)
Lineage: Eukaryota; Metazoa; Chordata; Mammalia; Carnivora; Felidae
Exons: 3
Source: RefSeq, a predicted model, not a curated record